Molecule: non-coding RNA, 257 nt
Organism: Pseudonaja textilis
Lineage: Eukaryota; Metazoa; Chordata; Lepidosauria; Squamata; Elapidae
Source: RefSeq, a predicted model, not a curated record
GAAGAGGAAGAGGAGGAGGACUGAGGGGUCCUGGGUGCUCUCUCUGCUUGGUGGUUUCCUUGCAGGCGUCUCAUGACCCAAAUAGGUCAUAUCAUCAUUGCUGGAAGGGAGUGGGGUUUGAAGAGAGGAAGAGGAGGAGGAGGGCGGUUGUGGCGGGCUCCUUCCCUGAGCUUAGUUCUUUUCUUACGGACAUUUCAUUACCCAACUAGGUAACAUCAUCAGUGCUAGAAGGGUGGGGUUUGUGGAGAGGAGGAGGA